RNAcentral lists this small RNA (769 nucleotides) under Pan troglodytes (chimpanzee). Its description in RNAcentral is "retained intron". Lineage: Eukaryota; Metazoa; Chordata; Mammalia; Primates; Hominidae. The record is from RNAcentral.
UACUCUCUAGAUCUGCUGGGGCUGGACUGAGGCUGGGGCAAGCCUCGUAAGGACUGGACCACGGGUGGGCAGGAGACCGGUGGAGAACCCGCCCUGUUGUUGGGGCUGGGGAGGGCCGCGCACCGAGACUAAAUUCUCCUUCCGGCCAGAUCCGCUCACCAGGCCCUGGCGACCUGAGCAUCUACGACAACUGGAUCCGGUACUUCAACCGCAGCAGCCCGGUGUACGGCCUGGUCCCCAGAGCAAGACUUCAGCCAGGAUCUACCCCACCUACCAUACAGCCUUUGACACCUUUGACUAUGUGGACAAGUUUUUGGACCCAGGUGAGGAGGGAGACAAGGGGCAUCCUGAGACCAGGACAGGAGAGGCUGAAGACUGAGCCCUGGCCUUGUCACCUUGCCGCAGGCUUCAGCAGCCAUCAGGCUGUGGCCCGGACAGCGGGGAGUGUGAUUCUCCGGCUCAGUGACAGCUUCUUCCUGCCCCUCAAAGUCAGUGACUACAGUGAGACACUCCGCAGCUUCCUGCAGGCAGCCCAGCAAGAUCUCGGGGCCCUGCUGGAGCAGCACAGCAUCAGCCUGGGUAGGCACAGCCCUGACCCUGAGGUAUGGGGAGCCCUGCACCCCCAGGACUGAGCCACUGCUUGUUCCUCACAGGGCCUCUGGUGACUGCAGUGGAGAAGUUUGAGGCAGAAGCUGCAGCCUUGGGCCAACGCAUAUCAACACUGCAGAAGGGCAGCCCUGAGUGAGCAAGGGCAGCGGGCAGGGGCUGG